Molecule: ribosomal RNA, 456 nt
Filed under: uncultured Leptolinea sp.
Lineage: Bacteria; Bacillati; Chloroflexota; Anaerolineae; Anaerolineales; Anaerolineaceae
Description: bacterial SSU rRNA
Rfam family: Bacterial small subunit ribosomal RNA
Source: RNAcentral
GACGGGCCCCGCACAAGCAGCGGAGCGUGUGGUUUAAUUCGAGGCUACACGAAGAACCUUACCAGGGUUUGACAUGUCACGUGGUAGGAAUCCGAAAGGUGACCGACCUUCGGGGAGCGUGCACAGGUGUUGCAUGGCUGUCGUCAGCUCGUGCCGUGAGAUGUUCGGUUAAGUCCGCUAACGAGCGCAACCCUCGCUGUGUGUUACAAGUGUCACACAGGACCGCCGGUCUUAAGCCGGAGGAAGGUGGGGAUGACGUCAAGUCAGCAUGGCCUUUAUGUCCAGGGCUACACACACGCUACAAUGGUCAGCACAAUAGGUAGCCAAGCCGCGAGGUGGAGCCAAUCCUCAAAGCUGGCCUCAGUUCAGAUCGCAGGCUGCAACCCGCCUGCGUGAAGCCGGAGUUGCUAGUAACCGCAGGUCAGCUAUACUGCGGUGAAUACGUUCCCGGGGCUU